UCUUCACGACCCGAUGAGAAGCUCAAUGACUACUGCUGUACACACCACUGACCGGAAGGCCGGAAGGCAGGCUCGUAAAAAUACGACAGUGUGUGCUCACCCGCCCCGGUCAGCUGGCACCAUGUGCUUUCCAGUUCUUCCUCAAAGUCAAAAUGACUGUGUGGGACAGACAUCAAGACAGCACAACUGAAGACACAAAAGACUCCAGCACUGCUUCCCGAGGUGGCAGGAACAAUGAGGAAACAUAGCUGAGAAAUCUCCUGCCCAAGUCUAGCUAUACCUCAUCAUUCCACUCUGUCCUCCCUGCUGCUGCUCUUGGGUUCCAGGAGUAUUAAAAACCAGACACUACAUACACUUCGUCAAAUCCCCAAGCUCGGCUCCUGUCCUCAACAAGGAAGGCAUCUUGGUAAUCAGCAGUGGCUCUCAAGAUGCACUGGACAGCUGGGGGACAAGCAAUGAAGGACAACUUACUUUUAAACACCUCUCAUUCUAUGGCAUUUACAGUGGUUACCAGUCUGUUCCCAGUCUGAAUGAUGACGAAAUCCUCAGAGGUGGUUAACAUAGGAAGAAGACAGGCUCAUUGUGGCUCACGAUACUGGAAGGCCAAGGUCAAGCGACCACACCUGGUGAGGAUCAUGCUGGCAGAGCCCCAGAGCAACACAAGGCAUCGCACAGCAAGACACAUGGAACUGCGCACAUGCGUGCACGGUCUGGCCUCUCUACGUCUUCGUACAAAGCACCAGCAGUGAAUCCCCAGCCCCCCAACAGCCCCGAAGUCUAAUCACCUCCCACAGGGCCCACCUCCAAGUACCACAGGGAGGUUUACACUGCAAGUGCUAACAGUUCACAAUGGAGAUAAACUGCAAUAUGGAUUCCAGAGGGAACAAACCCUGUCCACACCACAGCACAUUCUACCCCCAAGCACAAAGCCCAGGAAAGGAAUGAGAGACUUGACAAAUACAAGGUCUAAGGGCGAAGGAGGAGGGAUCUUGCUCCUCUCGCAUUAGCAGACCAUGAAGCAAAAUGAUGACUCACAAGAACACCCUGCUCAGAGGGAAAUAAAGUGUCUUUUGUUUUUUGAAACAUCUUUACUCACAUGAUGAUCCCUAUAGAUUCUGAUUUUUGAGACCCUAAAUUUUUAUUUGAUGAUAGUAGAAAAAAAUCAAGCAAAAAAUAAAUAAGCAAACCUAAACAUAA
Molecule: long non-coding RNA, 1197 nt
Organism: Cavia porcellus (domestic guinea pig)
Lineage: Eukaryota; Metazoa; Chordata; Mammalia; Rodentia; Caviidae
Exons: 3
Source: RefSeq, a predicted model, not a curated record